RNAcentral lists this ribosomal RNA (483 nucleotides) under uncultured bacterium. Its description in RNAcentral is "partial 16S ribosomal RNA". It matches the Rfam family "Bacterial small subunit ribosomal RNA", at positions 28 to 523 of the family's 1533-position model. The record is from RNAcentral.
GACGAACGCUGGCGGCGUGCUUAACACAUGCAAGUCGAACGAUGAAGCUGGAGCUUGCUCUGGCGGAUUAGUGCGAACGGGUGAGUAACACGUGAGAAAUCUGCCCUUGACUCUGGGAUAACUGCGGGAAACUGUAGCUAAUACCGGAUACUUUCCGUGGUGGGCACCCACUGGGGAAGAAAGAAUUUCGGUAAAGGAUGAUCUCGCGGCCUAUCAGCUUGUUGGUGAGGUAAUGGCUAACCAAGGCGACGACGGGUAGCCGGCCUGAGAGGGUGACCGGGUACACCGCGAACGAGAAACGGGCCAGAGUCCUACGGGAGGCAGCGCUGGGGGCUAUUGCGCAAAGAGCGGAAGGCUCAUGCAGGAUCGCCGCGGUAGGGAUGAUCGUUUUCGGGUUGUAAACCUCUUUUAGCAGGGAAGAAGCGAAAGUGACGGUACCUGCAGAAAAAGCACCGGCUAACUACGUGCCAGCCGCCGCCGUAA